Molecule: non-coding RNA, 69 nt
Organism: Podarcis lilfordi (Lilford's wall lizard)
Lineage: Eukaryota; Metazoa; Chordata; Lepidosauria; Squamata; Lacertidae
Source: the annotation of a GenBank genome assembly
GGAUAGUUCAGUCAGUAGAACGUGAGACACUUACUCUUAGAGUUUUGGGUUCAAACCCCACAUUGGGCA